Molecule: long non-coding RNA, 6180 nt
Filed under: Salmo salar (Atlantic salmon)
Lineage: Eukaryota; Metazoa; Chordata; Actinopteri; Salmoniformes; Salmonidae
Description: lncRNA (ENSSSAG00000088514.1)
Source: RNAcentral
CUAACUUCCCUGGAAAGUUGCAUAUCGUGGGGGCUAUUCGGUGCUAAUGCAGUACGCCACGGGAUGUUUUUGUGCUGGUCAAGGGCAGUUAUUUCUGGAGUGAGCCAAGGGCUAUAUCUGUUCCUGGUUAAAAAGAAAUUCAGUGGGGCAUGCUUAUUUAAGAUGGUGAGGAAAGCACUUUUAAAGAAUCACCAGGCAUCCUCUACUGACGGAAUGAGGUCAAUAUCCUUCCAGGAUACCCGGGCCAGGUCGAUUAGAAAGACCUGCUCGCUGAAGUUUUUUAGGGAGCGUUUGACAGUGAUGGGGGUGGUCGUUUGACCGCAGACCCGUUACUGACGCAGGCAAUGAGGCAGAGAUCACUGAGAUCCUGGUUGAAAGCAGCAGAGGUGUAUUUAGAGGGCAGGUUGGUCAGGAUGAUAUCUAUGAGGGUGCCUGUAUUUACAGAUUUGGGGUUGUACCUGGUAGGUUCAUUGAUCAUUUGUGUGAGAUUGAAGGCAUCUAGCUAAGAUUGUAGGAUGGACGGGGUGUUAAGCAUGUCCCAGUUAUGGGUCACCUAACAGUAUGAGCUCUGAAUACAGAAGGGGGGCAAUCAAUUCACAUAUGGUGUCCAGGGCACAGCUGGGGGCAGAAGGUGCUCUAUAACAAGCAGCAACGGUGAGAGACUUGUUUCUGGAGAGGUGGAUUUUUAGAAGUAGAAGCUCUAAUUGUUUGGACACAGACCUGGAUAGUAUGACAGAUCUCUGCAGGCUAUCUCUGUAGUAGAUUGCAACUCCGCCCCCUUUGGCAGUUCUAUCUUGUCGGGAAAUGUUAUAGUUAGGGAUGGAAAUUUCAUGAUUUUUGGUGGCCUUCUGAAGCCAGGAUUCAGACACGGCUAGGACAUCCGGGUUGGCAGAGUGUGCUAAAGCAGUGAGUAAAACAAACUUUGGGAGGAGGCUUCUAAUGUUAACAUGCAUGAAACCAAGGCUUUUACGGUUACAGAAGUCAACAAAUGAGGGUACGGCUAAAGGCUAUAAGAACUGGUUGUCUAGUGCGUUCGGAACAGAGUAAAACUAACAGGUUUCUGGGCGCGGAAGAAUAGAUUCAAGGCAUAAUGUACAGACAAGGGUAUGGUAGGAUGUGAAUACAGUGGAGGUGGGAGGUGAAACAGAAGGGCUCGCUAAGGCAUAUUGAGCAGGGCUGGAGGCUCUACAGUGAAAUAAGACAAUAAUCAUUAACCAAAACAGCAAUGGACAAGCGAUAUUGACAUUAGGGAGAGGCGUAGCCGAGUGAUCAUAGGGACCACUGGGAAGCAUAGGGGGACGUCGCGACGGAAAAAGUCUGUUGUAACCCUCUCGGACGGUUAAUUCAGCAGACCAGACGUGUUUGAUUGGCAGGGCUCCGUGUAGGCGGUAAAAGGGUCCAGGCCAAUUGGCAAAAUAGGUAUUGUAGCCCAAGGAGUGGCUGAUGGACCUCUUCAGCUAGCCGGGAGAUGGGCCUAGCACGAGGCUAGCUCCAGGCUCACUGGUGCUUGCUUCGGGACAGAGACGUUAGCUAGGGGGUAGCCACUCAGAUAGCAGGUAGCUAGCUGCGAUGAUCCAGGUGAAAAGGUUCAGGGCUUACGGUAAGAAACCGGAGAUGUGGAGAAAAAGCAGUCCGGUAUGCUCUGGGUUGAAUCGCGCUGGGCAUACUGGCAGGAGUUGACCAGGCUAAGGUUAGUUGAUGACCGCUAGCAGUGGCUAACUGACUACUAGCUAGUAGCUAGUUAGCUGGCUAGCUUCUGUUGGGAGUUCUGGUUCUAAAGUAUAAAAAAUUGCAGAUCCAUACCGCAUUGGGUGAGGCGGGUUGCAGGAGAACAUUUUGAAACUUGAGGUUAAAAAAUAUAAAAAAUAUAUGUGAAAUAUAUACGAAGGAAAAAAAGAUAUAUACACAGGACACGACAAGACAAAGACGUCUGAACUGAGACAGGAUUGUGUCGAACAUUUCUGCAGCAUUGAAAGUCCCCAAGAACACAGCUGCCUCUAUCAUUCUUACAGGGCAUUCAAAAAGUAUUCAGACCCCUUGACUUUUUCCAGAUUUUGUUAUUUUACAGCCUUGUUCUUAAAUGGAUUAAAGUGUUUUUUCCCUCAUCAAUCUACAAGCAAUAGCUCAUAAUGACAAAGCAAAAAACAUUUUUUGCAAAUUUAUAUACAUUUAUAUAAAAAAACUGAAAUAUCACAUUUACAUAGGUAUUCAGGCCCUUUAGUCAGUACUUUGUUGAAGCACCUUUGGCAGUGAUUACAGCCUUGAGUCUUCUUGGGUAUGACCCUACAAUCUUCUCUGCAGAUCUUCUCUGCAGAUUCUCUCAAGCUCUGUCAAAUUGUAUGGGGAGUGUCGCUGCGCAGCUAUUUUACAGGUCUCUCCAGAGAUGUUCGAUCGGGUUCAAGUCCGGGCUCUGGCUGGGUCACUCGAGGACAUUCAGAGACUUGCCCCGAAGCCACUCCUGCGUUAUCUUGGCUGUGUGCUUAGGGUGGCUUUCCUGUUGGAAAGUGAACCUUCGCCCCUGUCUGAGGUCCUGAGCGCUCUGGAGCAGGUUUUCAUGAAGGAUCUCUCUCUCCAGUCCCUGCCACUGAAAAACAUCCCCACAACAUGAUGCUGCCACCAACAUGCUUCACCAUAAGGAUGGUGCCAGGUUUCCUCUAGACGUGACGCUUGGCAUUCAGACAAAAGAGUUCAAUCUUGGUUUAUCAGAACAGAGAAUCUUAUUUCUCAUGGUCUGACACUUUUAGGUGCCUUUUGACAAACUCCAAGCGGGCUGUCAUGUGCCUUUUACUGAGGAGUGACUUCCGUCUGGCCACUUAACCAUAAAGGCUUGAUUGAGGUGCUGCAGAGAUGGUUGUCCUGUGAUAGGUCUCACAAGCUCACAGUACAGGACUGUAGAGUGCUGAAGCGCGUAUGUUUUUUAAAUUGUCUGUCGUCAGUUGCAACACUCACUACUAAGUUCUAAACUGCCUGUGGAAGCAACGUCAACGUCAACUCUUCGUCGGGAGCUUCAUGUAAUGGGUUUCCAUGGCUGAGCAGCCGCACACAAGCCUAAGAUCACCAUGCGCACUGCCAAGGGUUGGCUGGAGUGGUGUAAAGCUCGCCGCUAUUGGAGUCUGGAGCAGUGGAAACGCUUCUCUUGAGUGAGGAAUCACACUUAAAAAUCUGACAGCCCUUCGGAUGAAUCUGGGUUUGGCGGAUGCCAGGAGAACGCUACCUGCUCAAAUUCAUAGUGCCAACUAUAAAGUUUAGUGCAGGAGGAAUAAUGGUCUGUGGCUGUUUUUCAUGGCUAGGCCCCUUAGUUCCAGUGAAGGGAAAUCUUAACUCUACAGCAUUCAAUGACAUUGUAGACGAUUCUGUGCUUCCAACUUUGUGGCAACAGUUUGGGAAGGCCCUUUCCUGUUUCAGCAUGACAGUGCCCCCGUGCACAAAGCGAGGUCCAUACUGAAAUGGUUUGUCGAAAUCGGUGUGGAAGAACUUGACUGGCCUGCACAGAGCCCAUGAUCUCAACCCCAUCAAACACCUUUGGGAUGAAUUGUAACGCAGACUGCAAGCCAGGCCUAACGCUUCGAACACACCGACUGCGUCAUUGCAUCACUGCUACGUAACAUUUUGCGCAGCUAGGCAACUAUACUGAUGCAGGUACCUUUUGCAGAUGGUCGCAUGCGGUUGUACACAUGGAAGAGAAUCAUUUUCACAGUAUCCUCAAAACCGUGUCUUUUUGACACAACUGCUGACAGCUACAGGGACAUAAACACAAAAUAUGCUGCUUGGAGACAAGUGUCCACGAUAGUAGGAUUGCCAGGUCAGCUUAGUAGUGAGCAUGUGCUAGAUGUGGCUAGUUAGCUAGCUAGCUAACCUAGCUUGCUAACCUAGCCAAUGAGGUGUGUGUGUGUGUGUGUGUGUGUGUGUGUGUGUGUGUGUGUGUGUGUGUGUGUGUGUGUGUGUGUGUGUGUGUGUGUGUGUGUGAAAGAAAGAAAGAAAUAGUCAAAUAAAUUAUGCUAGUUACUACCCCUGAUAACUUGAUCAAAUAAUCAUGUUUGAAAGAGUGUGAGUAUGUAUGUCAUAAAUAGUCAUAGAAAUGGAAGAUACUACUGUACCCCUGAUAAUUUGGUCAGAUAACCGUGUGUGUGUCUAUGUGUACAGUAGGUGACAUGUCCAUGAUAGCUAUCUAAUAACUAUAGGUAUGCUAGGUAAUGGUUUGGCUUAUCAUGUCUAUGUAGAAGAAGACUGUAGGAGGAAGUGGAGAGGACUCAGGGACAGGUAUCAGAGAGAGAGAAGGGCAGAGAAAGAGAAGAAGAGGUCUGGGUCAGCAGCUUCAGGCCAGCAGCCUUGGCGCUUCUGCCACAUUCUUUCUUUUCUGGAUCCAUUUAUUGUGCCUAGGGCAACGAGUGGCAAUUUUACAGCCAGACCCUCUACUACGUCAUCCACAAGUGUUGUCGCCACCGGUGCAUCAAGACCCUCAAUGUCACCUACAAGUGCGACCAUCGCCUCCACCGGUGCAGCGAGACCCUCUACAAUGUCUACAUCAUCCACAAGUAUGACCACCAUCGGUGCAGCCAUGGAAGACGAUGAAAUGGAGGAAGCACCUCUGGAUCUAGGACCACCUGAGAUUAUUAUGAACCUCACGGAAGUGACCACUGAGGACCUCGUUGAACAGGAUGUGGCCGUGGAGACAGAGAGAGAAACGAAGAGGAACAACGUCACACCAGGCGUCAUCGAAGGUUCCAGCCCCCAGAUCCACUCAACUCAUUUCAGCAGAGGCUCCUCCAAGCCGUCGAGAGGGAUGCAGCCCAAGCUGAUGCUCACAGGAAGGAGGAUGAAGAGACCCUCUUUGCCAUGAGCCUGGUGCCAACCCUGAAGAGGCUGCCUCAGCAAAGAAAAGCAGCAGUCAAAGUUAAAAUGUAUCAGCUGCUUUUCGAAGCCGAGUUCAAUGGUACGUUUUUUUUCUUCUUCACAUCACAGGUAGUGUCAUAAGUGUUGCGACAGUGAAGUAGGUAAUUCUUUACAGUAUACUCAUGUAGGCUAAUUGGUAUUUCAGAUCAAAGUAUUAAUAUGAGGCAAAUGUACAGCUGUUGUUUCUAGGUUAGAAAAUAUCCCAAAACAACAGUUUACUGUCUAAAUAUUUUCCUGUCAUAUUCAUCUUUAUCUCUGAAAUACAAAUUCCAUGAGUAAACAGCAAGUAUUACCAACUUUACUGCACUGUUCCAAUAUUUAUGCCUCUAACUACACUAUACAAGCAGUAUUUAGUUAACAUAAAUCUCACCUUUUAUGGUUUUCUUUUAUGUUAAGCUUGUAUGUGUUGUUUUUCUCUUCCCUUCCAGAGAUGGAGUCCAUUUAGCCGACCAGCUCACAGGAAGGACAGGAAGAGGAGAGGAGUUGUCUGGUUGUUGUUUUUGACCUCCCUCAUUGUACCUUUCUUUUCACACACGUCCGUUCCGUUUAAAUUCAGUCAAUUCAUAAAGUCAUUUGUUUAUAAAGUCUCGGGAUAGCAUUCAUUAUUAGUGUUACAUAGAUUUCUGAAUUGACAGAAUUGAAACUCUGUUAUAGGAAUUUUAUACCUUGAUGAUAAUAAUCAAUAAUCAAUUCGCCUUGACUAAUGCCCAAGGUUUGUAAGACAAUGGGUUAAAAUAAUUAAGCAAGGACUCAGCUUUCUGCAAAAGGUUUCUGUAGCUUUAUUCAGAGAACGUUCUGCCGUCAGGAUAACAAAACAGUCAUUAUAUAGUUCUUGCUUACUUACGCACAUGCAUUUACACACAAUCUGUUGGUGACCUGCAACCCCCAUAAACUUCUCACACUGUUUGUCACCUUCUGGCUCUUAUCAAACUCAUACACCGAAUAAUUCACAGAUGCUCUUUUUUAAAUGUUUACACGCACACACACCUCUUUCAAUAGUUGUAUUUUUUUUAAACAUUUUUUACAACACACAUACCUGUCAUGUUCUUUCCUGUACUUGAAUACUUAUUAAAUUAUGUUUUCAUAGUCAGUUGUUUCAUUUGUUUAUUAAUAUCUCAUUUAGACUUAAUCUGCUAAUUUCUUCCCUACACCUUCGCAGAUCUAAGACAAGAUGAAAGUAAAAACACAUUCUCUUCCUAAUUCAUUUUUUUCCCACCUGUAUUUUGUCAGGCCAGUGAACAUGGUGGUAAACUGUACUAUUUGUAUGGACCCUAGGUUACCCUUUCC